GAUGAACGCUGGCGGCGUGCUUAACACAUGCAAGUCGAACGGGAAUUAUUUUAUUGAAACUUCGGUCGAUUUAAUUUAAUUCUAGUGGCGGACGGGUGAGUAACGCGUGGGUAACCUGCCUUAUACAGGGGGAUAACAGUCAGAAAUGGCUGCUAAUACCGCAUAAGCGCACAGAGCUGCAUGGCUCAGUGUGAAAAACUCCGGUGGUAUAAGAUGGACCCGCGUUGGAUUAGCUGGUUGGUGGGGUAACGGCCCACCAAGGCGACGAUCCAUAGCCGGCCUGAGAGGGUGAACGGCCACAUUGGGACUGAGCCACGGCCCAGACUCCUACGGGAGGCAGCAGUGGGGAAUAUUGCACAAUGGGGGAAACCCUGAUGCAGCGACGCCGCGUGAAGGAAGAAGUAUCUCGGUAUGUAAACUUCUAUCAGCAGGGAAGAUAGUGACGGUACCUGACGAAGACGCCCCGGCUAACUACGUG
Molecule: ribosomal RNA, 478 nt
Filed under: uncultured bacterium
Lineage: Bacteria
Description: partial 16S ribosomal RNA
Rfam family: Bacterial small subunit ribosomal RNA
Source: RNAcentral